Molecule: ribosomal RNA, 441 nt
Filed under: uncultured bacterium
Lineage: Bacteria
Description: partial 16S ribosomal RNA
Rfam family: Bacterial small subunit ribosomal RNA
Source: RNAcentral
CCUACGGGUGGCAGCAGUGGGGAAUAUUGCACAAUGGGCGAAAGCCUGACGCAGCAACGCCGCGUGAAGGAUGACGGCCUUCGGGUUGUAAACUUCUGUUCUUAGGGAAGAAAAAUGACGGUAGCUACAGAGGAAGCAACGGCUAACUCCGUGCCAGCAGCCGCGGUAAUACGGAGGGGGCAAGCGUUGUCCGGAAUUACUGGGGGUAAAGGGAUCGCAGGUGGGAAGUUAAGUCAGCUGUGAAAUCGAGGGGCUCAACUUCUAGUCUGCAGUGGAUACUGGUAAUCUUGAGUGCAGUAGAGGUAGGCGGAAUUCCGGGUGUAGCGGUGAAAUGCGUAGAUAUCAGGAGGAACACCGGUGGCGAAGGCGGUUUACUGGGCUGUAAUUGACACUGAGGAUCGAAAGUGGGGGUAGCAAAUAGGAUUAGAUACCCGUGUAGUC